RNAcentral lists this unclassified non-coding RNA (321 nucleotides) under uncultured fungus. RNAcentral's name for it is "partial contains 5.8S ribosomal RNA and internal transcribed spacer 2". The stretch from base 1 to 133 matches the Rfam family "5.8S ribosomal RNA", at positions 22 to 154 of the family's 154-position model. Lineage: Eukaryota; Fungi. The record is from RNAcentral.
UGGUUCUGGCAUCGAUGAAGAACGCAGCGAAAUGCGAUAAGUAAUGUGAAUUGCAGAAUUCAGUGAAUCAUCGAAUCUUUGAACGCACAUUGCGCCCAUUAGUAUUCUAGUGGGCAUGCCUGUUCGAGCGUCAUUUCAACCCUCAAGCUCUGCUUGGUGUUGGGGAUCAGCCUUCUAUGGCUGGCCCUGAAAAUUAGUGGCGGUCUCGCUGUAGCUUCCUCUGCGUAGUAGCACACCUCGCCCUGGAAAACAGCGCGGCCCAGCCGUUAAACCCCCCAUUUUCUGAAGGUUGACCUCGGAUCAGGUAGGAAUACCCGCUGA